CGGGUCGAACCCCGGCUGCUUCUGUGUCAAUGUGUCUCUGAGUAAGACACCCAACCCGCUGGCUGCAGCACGCCGCUCCACUGGGUCAAAUGCAGAGGACAAUGCAACCCAUCCACAGAAACUUGGGGAGGAAAAGACUUCAGGAAAGAUGCAAAGUCGGUAAUGUUGGCUUAUGAUGACAGCCAUAGUAAUGUGAUUAAUAUUAAUGAUAAUAUCUAUAGCAGCAACAGUUGUCAGCAGGGCCACGGCAGGAGGCGAGAACAGGGCCCGGAUAGAACCAUGAUCAGUGGAAACCUGUGAGACUGCUGGAUUGACUGUAACCGCGGGUAACCGUGACAUCUAGUGGCUCAAGUAGGAGGCAAACACCUGGAUGAGAAGCGCUUCCAUCCCCACGGCUACAAGGUAGUUUCAUAGUCUUCACUUCCACUGGGCUGACAGGCGGGUUGGAGAGAACACCACCAACCGCUGGUCUCACACGGACGGUGCAGGAGUAACAAUGCAGGGGCGGAGGGACAGGGACUCAGGUGCAGUGCAAUACGAGACUCCUCCAAGGACUGACGGUGUUAUUAAAUGGUGUCAACAGAAGAAGACAUCUAGAAGGUACUGGUCCUAAACGGUCCGACUAUGUUUGAGUUCAUGAGAGAGCUGAAGUUCCUCCUCUGCUCCACUCUGAUUGAAGACACUGGGGUUUCCCAUAAAGGAUUUCCUCAAAGCGCUGCCUUCACUGUUUAGAAUGUUAGCAUGCUAACAUCUGCUAAUGGGCACCAAACAACAGCAGAAGCCGGCGGCCAUGUCACUUGAUCAGC
This is a long non-coding RNA of Gasterosteus aculeatus aculeatus (three-spined stickleback), 806 nucleotides long. NCBI's taxonomy places the organism in Eukaryota, Metazoa, Chordata, Actinopteri, Perciformes, Gasterosteidae. The record is from Ensembl.